This is a long non-coding RNA of Grus americana (Whooping crane), 834 nucleotides long. RefSeq lists it as uncharacterized. NCBI's taxonomy places the organism in Eukaryota, Metazoa, Chordata, Aves, Gruiformes, Gruidae. The record is from RefSeq and is a predicted model, not a curated record. The transcript is spliced from 2 exons.
GGCACGCUGGGGACAACAUUAUGCGUAUGCCACCCUCACGUGGAUAGCAGGGACAUGCUGAAUAACUGGGCAAACUUCAGAGCAUCGCCACUGAGACUAGCAACUGCAUAUCUCAGCAGGGAGGGCUGGGAGGAGGCAACCACACCUCCACGCUAGCCCCACAUGAACCAGCUGUGUGGAAGGUCUUGGCUUGGCUCACUUGGGAGGUGGGACUGGGGCUGGGCUGGCACAGCAGCUGGCUGAGCACCACUGAUGUGGGAAGAAGAAGCAGGUGCAGUGCAGGUGGGGGAAGAUCUGGCAAUACAGAGAGAAGACCCUCUCCAAAGUGACCUCCCCCACUUCACAGGCAGCUGGAAAGUAGCUGGCAGGAAAUGGAAGGUACCAAGCUGCUGGUGCACCCCAGCAGGCGAGGAAGAGCUGGGAAAACAGAAAACUUCCCCUUGCAGGGUGCUUUCCUCCCUCUAACAAGAAGCAAAGUGAGGGAAGCUGUAACAGCAGAAUGGUGUGCAACUGCUCAUCUCUAUGACUGCUGCACCCUGGAACUGAACCCAUGAGACCUCAGUCUUCCUAUUCAUCUGUUGUCUGCAAAUAGCUGUGAAACUCCCAGCUGAAAUGGAUGUCCUACUCCUUCCCCUCCUUUCCUUUAAACAGUGGCUGGACUAUGAAGAAAAGAACAGCUUGUUUAAUGCAGCGCAUCUGCAGUGCAGACCUUUAGUACUUGACUGAAACUAACAACUCUUCUGUGGCAGCCAAAAUGGGUGAUCAAUACAAAUCCAUGUGACAAAAUAUUUUUUCCAUUUUUUGUUCAAAGAUUAAAUUUUUUUUGUUGCAAUG